This 460-nucleotide long non-coding RNA is filed under the name Hordeum vulgare. Its description in RNAcentral is "long non-coding RNA (HVUL_LNC005104)". The record is from RNAcentral. Lineage: Eukaryota; Viridiplantae; Streptophyta; Magnoliopsida; Poales; Poaceae.
GGCGAGCCCGCCCUUGGUGAAGUUGAACGCGUUGAACUUGGGGAAAUACAUGCACAUGUUCAUGCUGGUGACGUUGUGGUAUCCCAUGAGCGACUCCUCGUAGGGGUAGCCGGGGUUGAGGAACAUGCGCAGCCGCGACAGCAGCAGGGUGGCGCCGGGGAGCUUGUUGUCCCAGCUGAAGACGGAGAAGUCGAGGAUGUUGAAGUAGGCCUUGGCGUUCUUGGGGAGCCUGGGGUCGGUGGCGAAGCUGAUGUAGCUGUUGUUGCCGGUGGCGUAGUACAUCCAGGAGGCGCUCCACAUGAACUCGUCCCAGUAGCUGGUGGAGUUGUAGUAGUACUCGAUGGCCGGGUUGCCCCGGGAGUAGGGGGUGCGCUUGCCGUUGGCGCGCGCGAACUUGUACACCGUCGCCGCGCCUCUCACCAGCUUCUUGGAGUAGGCGGCGUUGUCGCGGAACACGAUG